UACGGAGGGUGCAAGCGUUGUCCGGAUUUAUUGGGUUUAAAGGGUGCGUAGGCGGUCAACUAAGUCAGUGGUGAAAGGCAGCAGCUCAACUGUUGCACUGCCAUUGAUACUGGAUGACUUGAGUACAGACGAGGUAGGCGGAAUUUAUGGUGUAGCGGUGAAAUGCAUAGAGAUCGUAAGGAAGGCCAGUGGCGAAGGCGAGUUCCUGGACAGUGACUGACGCUGAGGCACGAAGGCCAGGGGAGCAAACGGG
This 253-nucleotide ribosomal RNA is filed under the name uncultured bacterium. RNAcentral describes it as "partial 16S ribosomal RNA". It matches the Rfam family "Bacterial small subunit ribosomal RNA", at positions 524 to 776 of the family's 1533-position model. The record is from RNAcentral.